AGAAAGGGAGUGAAAAAGGAGCGCAUUUUGGGUUGGAAGCGUUGCUUUUAUUCUCUUCUCUCUCUCUCUCUCUCGCGGUUUCCUUCUUUGCUUCGCUUCCGUUGUGCCUCUGCGCUGCUUGUUUUGGUGUUCUUUGAAAGGGGUUAUCGCUCCGCCCGACGCCGAAAACCGAUCCCCGCAACAACCUCGAAUCAUUGAAUCCCUUCCCCACCUCCUUUUUAUCGCUCCGCCCCCCCCGCCCCCGAAAAGAUCCCUCAUCUAUCCGUUUGCUUGCUUCUCCUUCCGAUCCUUCCCCGAUUGGCUUCCGCCACGCACUCGAUCUGUUCCGAUGAGUUCUUCCCCUGACCGCGCGGACUCUUCCAGCCCUUGUUGCGCCUUUUGGCGCGUCGGGUGAAAGGGUGGUGACCUCGGGCACUCGGGAUCGAUUUCUUGGACAUGGGUGACCAGCAGGACUGGCCGCCGCUGGCGAACGGCGGCUCUUCGGAAGGUUUUUCCCACCCGAUGCCGACGAAUCCUGACCUGUCGGCGGUCGGCCCUGGGAACUUGAUUCGCGCUGAGCAAGCCACCGCAGAGGUUCUCCGGUGCAUUCAGCCGACGGUGGUGUCCGAGCAGAGGCGGAAAGCCGUCGUGGAGUAUAUCCAGAAGCUUCUCAAGAGAUAUAUAGGCAUUGAGGUAUUUCCAUUUGGAUCAGUUCCACUGAAGACAUAUCUUCCUGAUGGAGAUAUUGAUCUGACUGCACUUAGUUUUCCAAAUUCUGAAGAUGCUUUGGCAAAUGAUGUGCGUUCUGUUCUUCAAUCAGAAGAACAGAACAAGGGUGCUGAGUUUGAAGUAAAGGAUGUUCAAUACAUUAAUGCUGAGGUUUUUCAUUCUUCUGGAAUUCUGUUUAUUGGUUGUUAUGAGGUCAAACUUGUUAAAUGCAUUGUUGAGAAUAUUGUAGUAGAUAUCUCAUUCAAUCAGAUUGGUGGACUUUGUACACUUUGCUUUCUUGAGAAGGUUGACCAGGAAAUUGGUAAGGACAAUCUCUUCAAGCGCAGUAUAAUAUUGAUAAAAACUUGGUGUUACUAUGAGAGUCGCAUCCUUGGUGCUCAUCAUGGUUUGAUUUCUACGUACGCAUUGGAAACGUUAGUGUUGUAUGUUUUUCACCUCUUCCAUGAAUCGCUAGAUGGUCCUUUGGCGGUUUUGUAUAGGUUUCUGGACUACUACAGCAAGUUCGAUUGGGACAAUUACUGUGUUAGUUUGCAGGGACCCAUUCCUGUUUCUUUUCUGCCAGAACUAGUAGUUGAGCCACUAGAGACUAACGGGGGUGAUUUACUGCUUUCGAAGGAAUUUAUUAAAGAAUGUAUCGACAUGUUCUCAGUUCCUCCAAGAUUUUCAGAGAGCUCUAGAAUAUUUUUAAAGAAGCACCUAAACAUUGUGGAUCCACUGAAACAGAACAAUAAUCUAGGGCGCAGCAUCAGCAAAGGUAACUUUUACCGCAUACGUAGUGCAUUUACAUAUGGUGCCCGAAAACUUGGUCGGGUACUUCUACUACCUGCUGAAAAUAUUGCUGCUGAAGUUGGUAUGUUUUUUGCAAGCACCUUGGAGAGGCAUGGAACUGGAGAAAGGCCAGACGUUCAACAAGAUGUAUCUCUUAGUUGUUCAGAUAGCAGAUUUAUUGAGCAUAAUGAGGUUGGCUCUACAUCAUCAAACAAGGAGUCGCCUUUAGAUUCACAAGUUAAGUGUUCUGGUGGAGCACUAUGUGACAACAUAAAUAACAUCAAGAUCUCAGAUUUGGAUGAGGGGUAUGGCACCGAAUUGCAAUUCAAUGGACAUAACUCUAAUAAGCAUCUUGAUGGACUUCACAACUGUACUAAAAUGGAAAAUCAUCUCAUGGGAGGAGAAGCUUCAGUUAAGCAUUUGGAUAAAAAUGCCAGAGAUCUUGUUAGCAUAGAAGCUUUUAAUUUGAAAGCCGCUGAAAGUUGCUUAGAUUCUUCAUCACAUAAUCAGAUAGGCGGUGACUUGUCAUCUGGAAAAGCUUAUCAUGCACCCCCCUUGUUCUUCCAUGUGGGAAAUGGUUCUGAAUCUGUGAUACUUGAUAAUGUGAAUUCAGGGGAUACUGCAAAGAAAGAAGUGAUUUCUAGCAGGUUUGUGGCCCCCGGUGAGGAACCAAACAAUGAAUCUGAAUCACACGGUACUAGUACAUCUGGGUUUAAAACCAACUCUGUAUCUGCCUCCACUGGCAGCAUUCAUGGAUCUUCAACAACAAGUUGGAAUUCCCAUUUAUCAGAAUAUUUAAAUACUGCAGCUUGGUCAUGUGAGGGAAACGGAAAUAGUAGUCCCAAUUGCAGUAAACUAUCAGAUCUAGUUGGUGAUUUUAAUCUGCACUACAUGAAUCUUCUUUAUGCUUUGAAGUCCCAGAGCCAAGAAUACUUUAUGAGUCAGUACUUUAUGCCAAAUUAUGGACCAUCCCCUUCCCAGUAUCAGAACAAGCAAUCAUGGAAUGGUUUUUCUCAGCAGAGCAUUUACAUGCAUAUUAGAGCAAAUGGUGUCAUCCCUGCACCAUCAUUUUCUUUGAAUCCUGGUGUUUAUGCUGCAAAAGAUAUCCAAAAAACAAAGGGAACAGGAACAUACUUUCCCAACACGGUUUACAUGAUCCUGAUGUCUUUUGCAGAUUCAGAAUUCUCGUUCAUACAGAGAAAGACAGUCACCUGGGAGAGGAAAGAAUCAAACGCCUCCAAAUCAGCUGUCAAGAUCCCGCAACAACAGCCGAUUGGAGGUACAAGAUAGGAACCUACUUGAAGAAAAUAAUGAGACACUUCCACAACCACAGUCUCCUGUUUUCACGGGGGUCCCCCAGCCUUCAUGCUCGGCCACUAGAGAGCUUUCACAUGGCAAUGACAUUGUUCUUGGUUUAAAGGGAAAACUAGAGUUUGGGUCCCUUGGUCCCGUUAAACUAAGAGUCUCCUCACCAGAACAAAGCAAAAAGCUAGAAUCAGUUAGUCCUUCUAAUCAGAGCUCCGCAGCAAUCCUUGAAUCAACAGUUCAGAGACCCUCAACGAACUUGAGAUAUGAAAGGUCAAUGAAACCUUAUCAGCUCAAAGAUGAAAGCGACUUCCCUCCUCUAAAUGGCUGAUUUCUACUGAAGACCAAUUCACACGGAGCAGACAUGGGGGGGGCGGCCAUGAAACUAACAAAUGCUGACCACCGGAGCAUCUUUGCUAGAGCAGUGUCGCUGAGGGACGUGUAUAAGAGUGUUAUCUAAUUGUUGCGGUGAAUUUGUUUCUUGUACAUUCCGACAACUUCUCUCCCUGUUCUUCUUCUUUUUUCGGAACCCUUGGCACCCACCACCCCUUCAUGUGGGUGUAAACAGGCACCCAACUCACAUCCCUCUUUGCCUAACCAGUUUUUCUGUUGCAGGUGGUAAAAAGAUUCUCUGGUUUUGGUUUGUUGUAGAAAAUGUUUUUGGCAGAAUCCUCCUAAUUCAAGUCAGAUUUUCUUUGAUGCCUCUA
Molecule: non-coding RNA, 3488 nt
Organism: Musa acuminata subsp. malaccensis (wild Malaysian banana)
Lineage: Eukaryota; Viridiplantae; Streptophyta; Magnoliopsida; Zingiberales; Musaceae
Source: RefSeq, a predicted model, not a curated record